GGAGGUUACAGCUCAGUGGUAGAGUGCCUGCCUAGCAUGUAUGAGGUCCUGGGUUCAAUCCCCAGUACCUCCA
Molecule: non-coding RNA, 73 nt
Organism: Camelus ferus (Wild Bactrian camel)
Lineage: Eukaryota; Metazoa; Chordata; Mammalia; Artiodactyla; Camelidae
Source: Rfam